Molecule: long non-coding RNA, 655 nt
Organism: Colius striatus (speckled mousebird)
Lineage: Eukaryota; Metazoa; Chordata; Aves; Coliiformes; Coliidae
Exons: 5
Source: RefSeq, a predicted model, not a curated record
CGGCGGCAGCGCGACGCCAUGUCGGAGAGGUCGCGGCUGAGGGACGCGCCGCCGCCAUCUUGAGAGGGUGCAGCCCGGCUGUCGGCGGCGCGGCACCAUCUUGGGGAAGUCGCGCUGGCUCCGCCCAGAGAGGAGGCUGGAACUGGGAGCCGUGCACAGGUGUAACUUCUUGCACUGGAGUGAAGCUACAAUAAUUGGGUCUCCAGGUCUGCUGCCCCAUACACAGCUUCCCAUUAAGGAUGUAGAGAGCUGUGGAAGGACUCAGGAACUAGUGAAUGCCGACAGUUCAGACAACAUGUUUAGCUGCCAAGGCAAAGAGAGACAAGAAUAGUGCAACUUUGCUGCCUUUUUCAGCUGCAAUAGCACCAUCGCCUCUUGCCGAGCCAGCAGCGAGACAGACCCCACGGACAAAUAACCAUCACUUCACAACACGGAAAGAGGAGGAGGAGGAGGAGGAGGAAGAGAGAGCGAGCGAGCGAGACCGGGAGAACUAAACCCCCCUGAAGGAUGGUUCUCAAAAAUUUCUGUCGGAACCUGGGGGACUCGGUCGGAGCGCGGGAGCCGUCCGCGGAGCUACUCUCUGGAUUUAUGCUGAAUGAGAAGUGGAAUUACUGAAUUAACGGCCAGGAAGCGAGCAUCGUGUGUGACAUCCUGC